Long non-coding RNA from Panicum virgatum (switchgrass), 833 nucleotides. RefSeq lists it as uncharacterized. The transcript is spliced from 2 exons. The record is from RefSeq and is a predicted model, not a curated record. NCBI's taxonomy places the organism in Eukaryota, Viridiplantae, Streptophyta, Magnoliopsida, Poales, Poaceae.
CUUCUGCAAAACUCCCGAUAACUACUCCAGUCCGCCGCUGCUCGCCGGAGCACCGCAUCACGCCUGGCGCCGUUUGGGUGCCUCUUCUUCCUCUCGAAGCCUCGCAGCAGCCCUAAGCUGCGUCGAGGAAAGGGUUUGGAUUUUCCGGUUGGUAUUCAGCCCAGUUGGACACGAGCCUCGGAGGAACCGUCUCACACCGCGCUCGUCAUGAACCCGCCGCCGUGCCGCACUCCCCUCCCUCCCGCGGUCCCUGACGAGACGGGACUGCGUCCAUUGGUAUGCCUUCCCUGUGCGGUCCUCCGCGGCGCCAUUCAGCAUCAAAAUGCAGUGCCCCCCCGGGCUCACCUGCAGGCUUGAAGAAUCCUAAUGCGAAGUUGCCAUCCUGAGAGAUCAGUUUCUGGUUCGUGGAGAGCUGCUGGUUUGCAGUGAGGGUAUCAGAGGCUUGAGAUUGAUAUUGGAGGAAAAUCAGCAGAAGUAAGCAUAGGACGCAUGAAGGAGAGAUUGCCAUCCACAAAAUUAAAGGAAAAGGAUGGCUUUUGUUUUUUGAGGUGAGAAAAGAAGUAAUGAACCCACAGGCACACACAACACACACUGGCUGUUUAUAUGCGCAGCAUCUACUCAUGUUAGUCGUACCAUUAAUCUAAUUUUUUUCAGAAUUUGUUGUUUUUCAUUGUCCAGUGCUGUGUCCCUUUCAGAUGUUGAAGCCGUUGUUUGUCUGGCUAGAGGUGUCUCCUAGUUUCAGCUUUCAACGGCCUUUGAUGUUUUCAUUGCCGUCCAUUUUCAGUCGACAUUAUUCCAGUUGUCAGUUAAUUGUGACCAGUGAGUAUUAGGCA